AAGGAAUCAAAAAGAAAAGCUGGAGUCACUGUGCCGAUCACUCCAGGCAGAGAGAAAGCAGAAUAAAACUGGGAGCAACAGCAGUGAUUCAGUCCCAGCCUGAUUAUUAUUGAUCCUCCACCUGAUUAUUAUUGAUCCAUGCGUUAAUCUCAUUGUGAAUUUUGGAAUAUUGUUUCAAAUUUUAUUAUGUUUCGUGUCGGCUUUGGUUUCUUAUUGAGGGGAUUCGCAGUGAUCAAAUGUAACCAACCCUUUAUGAGUAGUUUGCUUUUUUCGUCAGAUAGUUCUCUUUUCUUUUCUUGGAACCAAAAAAGUUGUUCUUGUUAUUGCACUGCUUUAGCUUAUUCUAGUACCUAUGUUGUGAUUGGCAUCCGAAGUUACUUUGGGAAAUUAGUGCAGUUUUUCUGGCUAGUUUUG
RNAcentral lists this long non-coding RNA (414 nucleotides) under Populus tremula. RNAcentral describes it as "long non-coding RNA (PTRE_LNC000412)". The record is from RNAcentral. Lineage: Eukaryota; Viridiplantae; Streptophyta; Magnoliopsida; Malpighiales; Salicaceae.